Trichocladium antarcticum is the source of this 94-nucleotide non-coding RNA. NCBI's taxonomy places the organism in Eukaryota, Fungi, Ascomycota, Sordariomycetes, Sordariales, Chaetomiaceae. The record is from the annotation of a GenBank genome assembly.
GCCCGGCUAGCUCAAUCGGUAGAGCGUGAGACUCUUAAGGAGUAUCCGUACAGAAAACAUCUCAAGGUUGUGGGUUCGACCCCCACGUCGGGCU